AACCUCCUUUUUCUCCCCUAGAAGGUAGCGCUGUAGCUCAAGACUGUAGUUUCUCCCUUGUGCUCAGACCCUGGCUUGUCUUCUGUGCAUCCUGUUUAUCCAAGCUUGUUCUCACCCCCCCCCCCCAGGAGUGCACGCCAGGAACCAGAGGCUGGAGCCAGUUCACAGGCUCCUGCGGGUUCCACAGCUGUAUUGGGGUAUGUCUGCCUGUCACCCAAUGCAGGGGUGAGUGAGACCCUUCCUGAGUGCCUUGGGGUACGGUGCUGGGUACCACAGCUUGCACAGAGGCUCUUCUAUUCAUGCCUAGAUGCCAAACUUUAGAAGUUAAAGACGGGGGAGUAUGACUGAUGCCGUAUGCCACCAUAGCAUCACCCUCUGCCUCCCGAGACUGAGAUAAGCAUAACUGGUUCCUAUUUGAGGGAGCGGCAGGCGUGUGAUCCUGGGGCAACAGCUUUGGUGCCGAAAAGGAAAGCUGCUUUUAACCAGAGUGCUUACAGUUUGGUGGACUCAGCGUCCCCUCCAAAAAUCCAUCUCCAAAGAUUCUGUUCAGCCAUGAAAGCUUUGAAGGAACGUGAAGGAAUGAUCCCAGUUAAUCAGUGAGACAGGCGGUCAGAGGCGUUGCCGUCCCCCAGUGCCUGCAGGCUUGUCCUCAACUCCAGGAGGCUGCUCUUUUCUGACUCCUGGAGGCCUGGGAGACGCCGGCUGCUCUAAGAACAAGA
Molecule: long non-coding RNA, 719 nt
Organism: Camelus dromedarius (Arabian camel)
Lineage: Eukaryota; Metazoa; Chordata; Mammalia; Artiodactyla; Camelidae
Exons: 3
Source: RefSeq, a predicted model, not a curated record